CGACGCCGCGUGGGUGAUGAAGGCCUUCGGGUCGUAAAGCCCUGUCGAGGGGGAAGAAAUGGUCGAGACCCAAUACGUCUCGAUCUUGACGGUACCCCCUAAAGGAAGCACCGGCUAACUCCGUGCCAGCAGCCGCGGUAAUACGGAGGGUGCAAGCGUUGUUCGGAAUCACUGGGCGUAAAGCGCGUGCAGGCGGCUCGUUAAGUCUGGUGUGAAAGCCCGGGGCUCACCCCCGGAAGUGCACUGGAUACUGGCGGGCUCGAGUCCCAGAGAGGAGGGUGGAAUUCCUGGUGUAGCGGUGAAAUGCGUAGAUAUCAGGAGGAACACCGGCGGCGAAGGCGGCCCUCUGGACGGUGACUGACGCUGAGACGCGAAAGCGUGGGGAGCAAACAGGAUUAGAUACCCUGGUUGUCCACGCUGUAAACGAUGAGCACUAGGUGUCGCGGGUAUUGACCCCUGCGGUGCCGUCGCAAACGCAUUAAGUGCUCCGCCUGGGGAGUACGGUCGCAAGAUUA
Molecule: ribosomal RNA, 515 nt
Filed under: uncultured Pseudomonadota bacterium
Lineage: Bacteria; Pseudomonadati; Pseudomonadota
Description: bacterial SSU rRNA
Rfam family: Bacterial small subunit ribosomal RNA
Source: RNAcentral